GUCAUACCUAAAAGCAGCCUCCUCGGCCGGGUGUCCCGACCGCGGGCUCGGCUCUCGGCUCCCAGCGGGUAGCGUCAGGGCCGGGCAGGGCUGCGCGGCUCCGCGGCCGCCCAAUCUCAUUUCCCGGCUGGGCGACGGCCGGCGGCCGGGCAGCGCCUUCCCUUCCUCAACCAAUUGCAUCUCCAGCGCGGAUCGGAGGAUCGCGGGGCGUGAGGCUGGGGAGCGCCCUGGGGCCGGUGCGUGGGGGAGCUGGGAGCAGCCCCGGCGCCGCGGCGGGAGGGGGAGGAAGAAGUGGAAGGGAAAAAGGGAAAGCGAGGGAGAGGCCUGGGGCAGGCAACCCCCGGGGGCGGGCCGCGCCGGCCGGCCCAGACACUUAAAUGCCACCCCUGGGGCAUCGGCUUCUCGCUGAUGAGACCGCUGCAGGGCUGCCGCGGACGGGGCGUCGUCGUGGGGACCGUCACCCUCUGCCUGGCCGCCGGGUGGGCUCUCCAGACUCCCGGAGGAGUAUCGUUAGUUGUCCCACAACCCAACAUCAAUGCAACAGUGGCACAAAACAUCCUCCUCUCAGUUGAAUACUCUUGCAGAGGCAUUGCCACCAUUGAGUGGAAGCAUGUGUCAAGCUGGGGCACCACCAGCAUCGUUGAGUGGAAAACUGGGAAUUAUGUCAACAUAUCCACAGUCUACAAGGACAGAGUGACUACUUUUGAAAAUGGCUCUAUACAGCUUCACAACGUGGGCAUGCGAGAUGCUGGCUACUAUUUUGUCACUGUAACAGAGGAGUAUGGAAACAACGCCUACGGCACCAUCAUAGUCAAUGUUUACGAAAUUAUCUAUGAAGAUUUACAUUUUGUAGCAGUUAUCUUUGCCUUUCUCGCUGCAGUGUCUGCCAUUCUGAUCUGCUUCAUGUGGCUUUGUAAUAAAUCUCUGCAUCUGUUUCAGAAGAAGACACACAAACUCACAGCAAGUACAACGGAAGAGAUUGAAUUGGAAACCAUUGAGUGUUAGCCAAGGACUGUAUCAUAGCAAAAAUAACGAUUCUACCUCAGGAGAAAAUACUGACCAAGAAAGCAAGAACAAACCUAGAAGGACAGACUGACAGAGCUUCCCUUCUGGCCAGGGACUAGGAUGACCAGGUGCAGAGGUACUAUGGGUUCCAUUUGGAAAAACUCUCAGAGAAUUUCUCACCAAGUGAAAAACGAUGCAGAUUAGUUACACAGAAGCCAGUACAUCCAGGAACUGAAACAAGAUGCUCCAUGCUGGCAAACAUCAAGAGAACUACAAGAGCUGCUUUGGAUACACACUGAGCAGCAGCUUGCCACAAGCAGUUGCUUAGUAUGUAUUUCCCAAAACUAUUCUUUAUUACUUGAGAGUACAACAAAAUAAUAACUGUCAUCAUAGAAGUAUGAUGUUCAAUUUAAACAUGUUUAUGUGCAAGAAAUUCUCAUAUAUAUAUACAUAUAUACACACACCUCAUAACACAACAUGGAAAUGAAUCGGAACCAGUUCAUACAGACAGGUUUCAAAAAGACCUUUAGCAAUUAAGUACCAAACAAAAUAAAAGCUUUGUUAACACCUUACUAGAAGCUUCAAGGCUACAACUACCAAACCAAAACCAUCAAAACCAUGACUUUUUUUAUUUUGAAAGAACUCAAAAGAGCCGAUAUUCAGGAGGAUAUUAUUGUUUCCCUGGAUGAUAAUCAUUGAGAGUGCAGGAUAAAAACCCAGCAGCACGUGUGGAGAUCCAAGGUUUACUGCAUGAGAGUUACCACCUUCUAUCCAGACAUUAAUUUACACAAAUCACUCACAAACUCAAAUUAUCAGAAUUUUGCAAGCAGAGUAAGACCUUUCCUCUAUAUUCUUGCAAAAAAGAGAGACAGAAAACACAAGCUGUGACUUUGUAACACUCUCAACUUAAACAAACUGCCAAGUAAAUAUAUUUCUCAAAAAUAAAUGGAUCACCCAGAAUCCCCAUCAAUGUACAAACAAUCCAACUCAAGAAUGUCACACAGUGAAGACGUUACCUUGAUUUUAAGUAUUGUUUAGCUUCAAUUCUUGACACAGGAGCUCUGCUUCUACUGUUGUCCCACUUCUCAUCAAACAAGGCCAUUAGCAUCCACAGGGAUAGCCAGGUUCUGUGGUAUAAACCACUAAAAGCCCCACUGAGAGCCCAAUUCAGUUCUAAUAUUUUUAAUCUUUCAAAAAUACUUGCAAAGAUCUAUUGAAAAAAAUAAGGGCAUGAGAGGAAAGGGAAUGAUUCCAAGCAGACACCUUUCAUGUAGUAAAAGGAAUACUGAAUUUAAUUUUAUAAACAAAAAAUACGUUAGUUACUCAGUUAUGUUACUCUGGACAGAGCAAUCAGCAAAGAUACAGCUGAGUGGAACUUUUUCAAAAAAUUAUAGGUAUUUUAUAUGCCAUUGAAAAAAGUUUUAUUACAAACUCCACAAUGGACAUAUCUGUACAGGAAAUAAAUGUGGGUUUGCUUUCUUGUAUUGGCCCAUAGCUUCCAUUUCCCUUUGCUGCAGGGGCAGUGAUUGUUGCACAGAGACUAUUCAAAGCCCCCACAGAGAGGCCGACGCAUCAUUAGCAGGGAGUUAGGGCAGCCAUGAGCAGUUCCAUUUUAUACACAAAGUUACGCCCUUCCAUUUUAUUCCACUGAACUUCCCUGAAUGGCCCUCGGAGAUGAUUCCACUUGCUGUCUUGCAGUACAUCACCUUUUGGGAGAUCCUUGCACUGACUCCGUGGGAACUGAACCAUAACUUUGCUGCCACUUUCUGGACCGUUACGUACUGCAACGAACAGAGAUUUUAAUGAGCAUUUUUACACUGUACGAAUUCCUCCUAUUGAAUAUUCUUUCUUGUGUAUACUAUACAUUACUCCUACUCAAUUCCAAGCAUGCUGAAAGCAAACAAGGAAAAUUCUUUUUUUUU
Molecule: RNA transcript, 2927 nt
Organism: Pseudopipra pipra
Lineage: Eukaryota; Metazoa; Chordata; Aves; Passeriformes; Pipridae
Gene: VSTM5
Gene name: V-set and transmembrane domain containing 5
Exons: 6
Source: RefSeq, a predicted model, not a curated record